UGGAGUCGUUGAUCAAAAUGAUCCAACGACUCCCUCCCGUCUCUCAUCUUAACUAUCCACCCCACCCCAAACCUUAAUCAUUUCCCACGGUAGCGACCACCUCUCUUUCUGUUUCCUCUCCAUGUUCUCUUAUCUCACUGACCCUUAUCAUUCCUAAAACCUUGCACAAAUUCGUGCAAGGUCACUAGAAAUCAAAACCAGACAUCUAUCCUGUCUCUUUCAACCAAAAAUCCCACCAGGUUUUUCCCUUUUCAUCACCAAGAUUUGAAUCCCAAAUCCCCAAAUCCCCAGAACAAAUGAUGCGAACAAGAAUCUUAUCAUCCCCCCCCUCCCCCCGUUCUUUCAAAUCAAUACAUGUAUGAUAUGAAUCUUGACCUCAUUGUCAUGAUUCUUUGUCUAGAUGUCAAACGGACUGAGCUAUGGACAUGGGCUUUAACCAAUGGCUCUUUUCUCUUCAACUGUCGACCUUUUCCACCAUAUUGGUGCCAAGGUAAAAAUAUCGACUCUACUUUCCCUCUGAUUUCCUCUACUUUUACUUUUUUUGCUUUCAUCUGCCUUCAAUCCAUACUUUUCACUAUCUGUGAAUUCAAAUGAAGCCCUAAGUCUUCAAUGCUACUAUAAAUAGAGCUUCUAACUCUCUCACCAAACACAAAGGAAAAAUAUUAAAAAAACACACAAACACACAUUAAAGUCUGAGAAAUUUCUUUUGGCUUAAGUAUUCUGAAGUGCUUCUCGAAUUUCUCUUUUCUUUUCUUUCAUUCAUGCUCGAGUUCGAUUACUGUAAGUUGAUUGUGAGGUUGGGUUCUUAAAUGAACACAUAUCAUCCUUACUUGGUUUGUUUCUCCAAAGAAGGUCAGUGAACACUGACCUCCCACUUUCAUUCCUCAAUUGCAUAUGUGGCUCUCUGCUUAUGAUGUCCACCUAUUAAUUGCAUGUUGUUCAUGAUAUUCAUCAGUAACAUGUGAGUCUUUUAUUGUAUUUUGUAUUUGUGUUAUCCUUGUUUUAAAAUUAAUGAUGCUUUCCUGAUGAUUAUCUCUGUGUUGUUGUUAAAUCUAUGAUGGUUGAUGAAAUUUGUUUCUCAUAACUUAGUUAGCUAAAAUGAUUCUACAUUGUUGUCAUCCUCAUCGGUAAUCUUGUUGAGCCUUCAUGCUAAGUUUAAUUUUACUCUAUGUUAUAUACUACAUGUGGUCUAUCCCUGUUGAUUGAGUAAUAACCAUAUUCAUACUAUCAUGUUGACUAAGUUGAUUGAACCAUAUUCCUUAAUUUUUCUUGAUAUCCUAUUUAACUUGUUAAAAUCUUUAUAGCUGAAGAAUUAUGCUAUCUUGAUCCUCAUGCCUAUGAUGUAUGUUGUACUGGUUUAGUUCAAUGACUGAUCCUCAUUACUGGUUUCGUUCAUGUUAUCAUGUUAAUAUGUUUACUUAGCUAUGUGACUCUAAUUGACAGCUUGUUUAUGACAUUAUUUACUUAGCUAUGUGAUUCUAGUUAAAUGCUUGAGUGUGAUACUGUGAUGUUCUACACAUUUAGGAUAAAACGAUUCAUGUGUCUAUUAUGAUAAUUUGAAAUAACAGGAAUCGUGUAGUGAACUUUUUUGGAAUGAAUUAUUAAUAAAUAUGCUUACAUGUCUCAAUAUAAACUUUCUAUAUCUUGUUUGUCAUGUCCUGGUCAGCUGCAGAAUGAAUGCCUCUACUUGUUAUUCCAUGACUAUUUGACAACACUGUUUAGAGGGCCCUCACUCAUGAAUCUGAGUAUAGUUCGUUACGAUAAUUUAAAAGUCUGAUUGACUGUGCAUUGUCAUGAUUAGAUACCAUGAUCAUUAGGUUUAGGUAAAAACUAGAAUUAGCCUUCCUAUUCAAGUUAAUUACCCAUUGAUCUAGUUGAUUGGUAUGCCCUUUGGGAACUCUGAAUACUGCCAUAAGUUUUCAAUAUAGGGAAUUCUUAGAUAUAUGCCUACUUGCUUUGGAAAGUUAUGUUGAAACUGUUAUGAUGUACGUAACAUGUUCUAGUGAUGUAAACCUACUUAAGGGAAGUUCAAAAGUGUUUAGACCUUCAAUGAAGAUAAUAAAAUAAAUGUAUAUGUUUAUCUUUGUCCACUACUGAUGCCUUAGACUACUUAAUGUGGCACUCCUGAGCUUGAAAUUGUAAGUGAUAGAGUAUGUUUACUAGCAGCAUGUAACAAACUACAUGUGCUAUGUGACCCUUGUUUGAUUGUGUCCUAGUAGUGAUUCUCACAAGUGGUUUGUACAUGUUGUGAUACUUUAGCAUCAACCUCAGGGCCUUUAAUGAUAUUGGAACUCUAAAAGUCCACAUGUAGUAACUAGUCUUUAUAUUUUGUGUUUUUGAUGAGAAGUCUUAAGGUCAAUACUGUGUUAGUCAUUAGCUGCUUAUGCUCUUGUACUCUAAUGAUGGUUGCAAUGCUUAAUAUGACUAUUUGGUACCUUUGUUUGGCUAAAUCAUUGAAAGGGUUUAUGAUGAACCUUCUGUACUUAUCUCUGUCAUGCUAACUAAGUGAAACUGCCGAGUUAACAUUUGUUUGUGCUCAAACCUUUGAGGAAGAACGAGGGUCAAUGUUCAAGGGUAUUUGGGUGUGAGCCUGGUUUUGUGGUUGAGGUACACUUUCCUGGCACAAGUACUGCUCGGGGUUCAUUAGACCCUCGUGAACUUUGAAGUGUCAGUGGUCCAUUGGGGGACUUCAUAAAUAAACAUGGUUCACCCUAAGCCCUUAGUCACUAACCUUAAUUAAUCUUCAUAGGGUUAACACAGAUGAAAAUUGAAUUUACUGUAUUCUUUAGAUUUUUUUGUUAUUAAUUAUUAUAAUUUUAUCUUACUUCAUCUUUAUAUUAACAUAUGCUAAUUAUCUUCUUUUUAUUUUUCUAUGCAUGAUUGUUUGGCCUGCUGAGUUCAUUUGGAACUCAGGCCCAAGCUCAGGGAAAUUGGGAUGCUUCCUCACCUAUUGGAGUGUAACGACCCGAUCAGUCAUUUUACUUUCUAGAUCUCCGUUCCCCUAAUUAAAACUCUCCAUAUGUUCUUUUACUAUUUUAUGACUUGCGGGGAUGGUUAGUUUGGGUUUGGAAGGGUUCGGAUUGAAAUCGAAAUACUUAGUUCCUUAAUAAUUGCUUAAAAGGGGUUAAUUUUGACUUGAGUCAACAUUUUAUGUAAAAGACCUCAGAACCGAGAUUUGACAUUCCCAAUACGUGUGUAUGAUGAUUUUGGACUUAGGCAUAUAUUCAGAUUGGGUUUCGGAUGACCUGGGAGCAUUUCGGCGCUUAAUAUUAAAUGUUUGGCGCAUUGAAGGUUUUCAAGUUCUUUAAGUUUGGUUUGGAGUAUGUUUUGUUGUUAUCGAGGUCCGUUAGGGAUUUUGAGCCCAGCGAAUAGUUCCGUAUUGUGAUCUAAGACUUGUACACAAAAUUUUAUGUCAUUACGAGUAGUCUAAGUGUGAUUCAGCGCGUUCGGGGCAAGUUGAAAACUUGCAGUUCAUAAUUUGAUUCAAUUUGAUUUUGGGGUACAAUUCUUAGUUUUAAUAUUAUAUUUCGUGUUUCGAGAGUUUGAGCAAGUCCGUAUUAUGGUUUUAGACUUGUUGAUUCUUUUGGAUGGGGUCCCCGAGGGAGGGGGGACUCGGGUACAUUUUGGACCGCUCGGAUAUAAGUAAAAAAUAAGUUGUUCUAGUUUCCUUCUUCGCGAAUGCGAAGGAAACCAUGCGAUCGCGAAGAAGGAAUUGGGGGACUCGGUGGUUUUGUGCUUCGCGUUCGCGAAGGCUUGGGGCUAGCGGCCUUCGCAUUCGAGGGAGACCUAUCACGUUCACGUAGAGUCAAGGACCUGGGAUUGGGCAACCCAGUUGCCUUAUGCGUUCACGAGAGAGGGCACAUAUUCGCGAUGAGAAGAUAGCCCAGUGCAUCGUGUUCGUGGGUGUCCUCUCGCGAUCGCGAAGGGAAAAAUUUCUAGGUUCGUCAGGUUUGCCUUCCCGAUCACGAGGGCUUGUCCGCGAUCGCAAUGAAGGCACAAACCUGGGCAGAAUAUUUUAAAAAACGGGACUUAGGCCAUUUUCUCUUAUUUUUUAUUUUUUUGGAUGAUUUUGGAGCUUCUUGGAGAGGGGUUAUCACCUAACUAUUGAAGGUAAGUAAUUCCUACCCAAUGUAAGUUUAAUACAUAGAUUAUUUGUAGAUUUUAACAUGCAAAAUGUGAAAAUUUUAGGAGAUUGUUGAAUAACCUAGGUUUUGAUAAAAAUGGGAUUUAGCCAUGAAAUGAUUAUGGAAUUGGGUAGAAAUUAUGUAUUUGAGUUCGUGAGAUUAUGGGUAAUAUUUAUCUUUAAAAAUUUUCAGAAUCCGGGCAUGUGGGCCUGGGGUGAAUUUUAGGAAUCUUCCAAUUUGGGUUGGGUAAUUUCUCUAAUAGCUAAAUUAUGAACUUGUGAAUGUAUAUUGAUUAAUAUAUAUAUAUAAUAUUUGGCUAGUUUCGGAUUGUUGGGCACCAAGUUGAGGCUUUAGAGUUGAUUUGUGAACCGAAAGUGAGCUUAAGAUCGAGGUUAGUCUCUUGCCUAACCUUGUAAGAGGGAACUCAUCCCCUUAGGUGUAUCUUGUUGUGUAUUACUUAUGUGAGAAGCGACGUACGCACUAGGUGACAAGAUUCCAUGUGUAGCUAUAUUCCAGGAGGUGUCCGGGUAUACUUAGGUCCACAUCAUGCCUUUAAUUGUACUAUUGAGUUUAUUAUGCAUAUCAAUUGUCUUGAAUAGAGAUGAGACUAGGGAUUAUAAAAGUUGCAAUGUUCGACUUAGAUUUCUUAUUUUUCGAUGAAUUGAGGAAUACUUAAUAACUCUAAGAAAUCCAUGUCCUCUCGCAUCGCAAGUACUUUCGCGAGAGAGGUAAACUUCUAUACUCUUAUGGGAUCGGGUCAUUCGCCUCGGCAGUGCGAUAACACUACUCUUAUGGGAGCAGGUCAUUCGCCUCGGUAGUAUAGUAGAUGCAUCUAUGAUUCGUAUCGUUAGACCCUCGGUAGUGCACACAGUAUUUUGGAUCGGUCCAUACGACCUCGGCAUAAAUCGUGCAUGAUAAUGCUGGGAGCCCGAAUACACUUGAUAUUAUUUUUAUGAGUUAAAAGGUUAUAAUUUAUUUAAUAGCCUGAAAUUGUUGAAGUUAGCAGUAUCAAUUGGAGAUUUUUAAUUUGGCUAUCAGUUAAAGAACCAUUUACUCAUUGCUGGUUAUUGUGUUAUUAUUAUUAUUAUUCAUGUAUUCCAUGCUUAUUUAGAAUUUCUGUGUUUUUAUUACUAGCACGUAGUAAGUGUCGAUGUCGACUCCUCGUCACUACUUCUUUGAGGUUAGACUGGAUACUUACUGGGUACAUGUUGUUUAUGUACUCACGCUACACUUUUGUACUAAUCAUGCAGGAUCUGAGACAGGUGCAUCUGGCAUUCAUUCAGGGACGCACCCCUAACACCCUGUGGCAUAGUGGUGAGCUGCUCUUUGAGUCCGUUCUGUAGCACCCGCAGUCUCUCUUUGAUAUUUACUUUUCAUCUAUCUUAUUUCAGAGAGUAGUAUAGAUAUUUUGUAUAUUCUACUAGUUGCUCAUAUACUUGUGACACCGGGUCUUGGGAAUAUGCUAGUAGACACUUUAUGGUUUUGGGUAUUUAUUUCACCGUAUCUUGCUCUUUCAUUGGUUCACGCUUUGCUUUACUAUAAUUAUC
RNAcentral lists this long non-coding RNA (5671 nucleotides) under Nicotiana tabacum (common tobacco). RNAcentral describes it as "long non-coding RNA (NTAB_LNC005191)". Lineage: Eukaryota; Viridiplantae; Streptophyta; Magnoliopsida; Solanales; Solanaceae. The record is from RNAcentral.